UACAGAGGUCUCAAGCGUUAUUCGGAUUCAUUGGGCGUAAAGGGUGCGUAGGUGGCGCGGUAAGUCGGGUGUGAAAUUUCGGAGCUUAACUCCGAAACUGCAUUCGAUACUGCCGUGCUUGAGGACUGGAGAGGAGACUGGAAUUUACGGUGUAGCAGUGAAAUGCGUAGAUAUCGUAAGGAAGACCAGUGGCGAAGGCGGGUCUCUGGACAGUUCCUGACACUGAGGCACGAAGGCCAGGGGAGCAAACGGG
RNAcentral lists this ribosomal RNA (253 nucleotides) under uncultured bacterium. RNAcentral's name for it is "partial 16S ribosomal RNA". It matches the Rfam family "Bacterial small subunit ribosomal RNA", at positions 524 to 776 of the family's 1533-position model. The record is from RNAcentral.